ACACAUGCAAGUCGAACGGAGCUUAGAGAGCUUGCUUUUUAAGCUUAGUGGCGAACGGGUGAGUAACGCGUGAGUAACCUGCCCUAGAGUGGGGGACAACAGUUGGAAACGACUGCUAAUACCGCAUAAGCCCACGGUACCGCAUGGUACUGAGGGAAAAGGAUUUAUUCGCUUUAGGAUGGACUCGCGUCCAAUUAGCUAGUUGGUGAGGUAACGGCCCACCAAGGCGACGAUUGGUAGCCGGACUGAGAGGUUGAACGGCCACAUUGGGACUGGGACACGGCCCAGACUCCUACGGGAGGCAGCAGUGGGGGAUAUUGCACAAUGGGGGGAACCCUGAUGCAGCGACGCCGCGUGGAGGAAGAAGGUUUUCGGAUUGUAAACUCCUGUCGUUAGGGACGAUAAUGACGGUACCUAACAAGAAAGCACCGGCUAACUACGUGCCAGCAGCCGCGGUAAAACGUAGGGUGCAAGCGUUGUCCGGAAUUACUGGGUGUAAAGGGAGCGCAGGCGGGAAGACAAGUUGGAAGUGAAAACCAUGGGCUCAACCCAUGAAUUGCUUUCAAAACUGUUUUUCUUGAGUAGUGCAGAGGUAGAUGGAAUUCCCGGUGUAGCGGUGGAAUGCGUAGAUAUCGGGAGGAACACCAGUGGCGAAGGCGGUCUGCUGGGCACCAACUGACGCUGAGGCUCGAAAGCAUGGGUAGCAAACAGGAUUAGAUACCCUGGUAGUCCAUGCCGUAAACGAUGAUUACUAGGUGUUGGGGGAUUGACCCCCUCAGUGCCGCAGUUAACACAAUAAGUAAUCCACCUGGGGAGUACGACCGCAAGGUUGAAACUCAAAGGAAUUGACGGGGGCCCGCACAAGCAGUGGA
Molecule: ribosomal RNA, 872 nt
Filed under: uncultured bacterium
Lineage: Bacteria
Description: bacterial SSU rRNA
Rfam family: Bacterial small subunit ribosomal RNA
Source: RNAcentral